Molecule: ribosomal RNA, 256 nt
Filed under: uncultured bacterium
Lineage: Bacteria
Description: partial 16S ribosomal RNA
Rfam family: Bacterial small subunit ribosomal RNA
Source: RNAcentral
UACGUAGGGCGCAAGCGUUGUCCGGAAUUAUUGGGCGUAAAGAGCUCGUAGGCGGUUUGUCGCGUCUGCCGUGAAAGUCCGGGGCUCAACUCCGGAUCUGCGGUGGGGUACGGGCAGACUAGAGUGAUGUAGGGGAGACUGGAAUUCCUGGUGUAGCGGUGAAAUGCGCAGAUAUCAGGAGGACACCGAUGGCGAAGGCAGGUCUCUGGGCAUUAACUGACGCUGAGGCGCGAAAGCCGGGAGGGCGAAACGGGAU